GCCACGGUAGCUCAGUCGGUAGAGCACGGGACUCAUAAGCCCGGGGUCGCCAGUUCAAUCCUGGCCCGUGGCACCA
This 76-nucleotide transfer RNA is filed under the name Candidatus Peribacteria bacterium RIFOXYC2_FULL_58_10. RNAcentral describes it as "tRNA-Met". It matches the Rfam family "tRNA". From Rfam's summary of the family: Transfer RNA (tRNA) molecules are approximately 80 nucleotides in length. Their secondary structure includes four short double-helical elements and three loops (D, anti-codon, and T loops). Lineage: Bacteria; Candidatus Peregrinibacteriota; Candidatus Peribacteria. RNAcentral also lists the same sequence under 2 other names. The record is from RNAcentral.